Molecule: ribosomal RNA, 496 nt
Filed under: Olios lamarcki
Lineage: Eukaryota; Metazoa; Arthropoda; Arachnida; Araneae; Sparassidae
Description: partial 16S ribosomal RNA
Rfam family: Bacterial large subunit ribosomal RNA
Source: RNAcentral
CAAAAACAUAUUUAAUAGAUUUAAUUAUUAAUAAAACCUGCUCAAUGAAAUUUAAAUAGCCGCAGCUCAUACUGUGCUAAGGUAGCAUAAUCAUUUGUCUUUUAAUUGAAGACUAGAAUGAAAGGUUAAACAUUUAAAUCAAUAUAAUAUAAUUAUAUUUUAAAUUUAUUUUAAAUGUAAAAAAACAUUUAUAAUUAAGAAAGACGACAAGACCCUAUUGAACUUUACUGAAGUUUAACUGGGGCAGUUAAUCAAUUAAAACUUUAAUGUUUAUUUAUUAAAAAAUGACCCAAUCAAAUUGAUUUUAUGAUCAAGCUACCAUAGGGAUAACAGCGUAAUGUUUUUCUAUAGAUCGUAUAUAAAAAAACGAUUGCGACCUCGAUGUUGAAUUAAUUAUUCUAAUAAAUGCACCCAUUUAUAAAGAAAGUCUGUUCGACUUUUAAACAAUUACAUGAUUUGAGUUCAGACCGGUGUAAACCAGGUCGGUUUCUAUCUU